RNAcentral lists this ribosomal RNA (568 nucleotides) under Colletotrichum sp. BDS-2011. RNAcentral describes it as "eukaryotic LSU rRNA". The stretch from base 211 to 364 matches the Rfam family "5.8S ribosomal RNA". Lineage: Eukaryota; Fungi; Ascomycota; Sordariomycetes; Glomerellales; Glomerellaceae. The record is from RNAcentral.
ACAAGGUCUCCGUUGGUGAACCAGCGGAGGGAUCAUUACUGAGUUUACGCUCUACAACCCUUUGUGAACAUACCUAUAACUGUUGCUUCGGCGGGUAGGGUCUCCGUGACCCUCCCGGCCUCCCGCCCCCGGGCGGGUCGGCGCCCGCCGGAGGAUAACCAAACUCUGAUUUAACGACGUUUCUUCUGAGUGGUACAAGCAAAUAAUCAAAACUUUUAACAACGGAUCUCUUGGUUCUGGCAUCGAUGAAGAACGCAGCGAAAUGCGAUAAGUAAUGUGAAUUGCAGAAUUCAGUGAAUCAUCGAAUCUUUGAACGCACAUUGCGCCCGCCAGCAUUCUGGCGGGCAUGCCUGUUCGAGCGUCAUUUCAACCCUCAAGCUCUGCUUGGUGUUGGGGCCCUACAGCUGAUGUAGGCCCUCAAAGGUAGUGGCGGACCCUCCCGGAGCCUCCUUUGCGUAGUAACUUUACGUCUCGCACUGGGAUCCGGAGGGACUCUUGCCGUAAAACCCCCAAUUUUCCAAAGGUUGACCUCGGAUCAGGUAGGAAUACCCGCUGAACUUAAGCAUAU